This is a non-coding RNA of Cucurbita pepo subsp. pepo (vegetable marrow), 524 nucleotides long. Lineage: Eukaryota; Viridiplantae; Streptophyta; Magnoliopsida; Cucurbitales; Cucurbitaceae. The record is from RefSeq and is a predicted model, not a curated record.
UUUGAAUUCGUCUAAUGCAAUUUGUGAAUUGGAAGUUGGCAACUUCUAUGCAGUUGUGAGCUCUAGCUUAGACUUUUAGUGGUUAGGAACAGUUUGAGAAAACCAUUGAUCUUUGUACGUCUUGAAGUUAACAGAUACCAUGAUAAUUGUAUUGUUUUUGUACUUUGGGACAUGCAAAAUUUGAAUUCUUUGUACUGCAUCUGUUCUAAAAAAUAUUUGUAAAUUGCAGCCAUAAUACUUUAUUUAUCACAAAAGAAUAUAAACUUUUUCUAGGGAGGAUAAACUUGUAGAACGUGCCAAAACUCUGAAGGUAAGUUCUGGAACAGAACCUGAUGCAGAUCUUGGUCCAGUAAUUAGCAAGCAGGCAAAGGAGAGGAUUCACAGAUUAGUUCAAUCUGGCAUCGAUAGUGGAGCCAGGCUACUGCUAGAUGGGAGAGAUAUAGUGGUUCCUGGAUAUGAGCAUGGAAAUUUUAUUGGCCCUACUGUCUUAACAGACGUGACGCCUGACAUGGAGUGCUACAAGG